CCCGGGGGCACAGAAGAGAUAAUACCAGAAGUCUUACUCAAGCGGAAACAUGUCCCAUCUUUUUUAUUGCGCAUGCGCGAGCUAAACAAGUGUAAUGCAAUGUUGACAAUAGAAAAUUAUAUUGGGAAGUUGUCAUUCCUACAGUAUAAACAGCUUUUUUUCAAGUAGUACGAAAUGUGACUUCGAUUUAUCUGUGGAACUAUUUCAACAGAAGGUAAAGCAGUAAUUUUGUUGUAUUUAGAAAGCAAACAGGGUCAUAUUUUAAAGAAAAUAGCGCACUAAAUAUAAAUUUGAGCAUCAUUAAAAUGUGUUCGCUAUGAUGCCAUUUUGUCUCGAGUAUAUACGGAGUACUGCUUUUAUACUGGUGGAUAUUCGAAUUUAUUUGGCUCAAAAACACCAUUACUUCAAUAUCCCUUUCUUGUUUUUCCUUGGAUAGGUUUUAACAAGAUAGAACUCUAGAUCACUUGGGUCCAAAAACGCUAGAUUAUAAAAUCCUGAUGUGACUUGAUACUACAAAUAGAAUAUGUCUUGUGAUGUAUUAAUACUACAAAUAGAAUGACUUUUAAGUACAAACUUCAAUGAAUUGAUAAAGUGUAAGGAUAGUGUUUAAAGUUGCUUCAUGUGUAGAAGCUGAAUUACUUUAGUUUAUACACUGUAUAAGUGUCGAUAUCACAUGUUGAUAUGACUUUAAUACUAGCAACUUGCAAUAAGUGGUCUGUCCUGCUUGUUUAUAAUACUUUAGAGUUUGGACAUUAGAACAUUGUAAUUGCCUGACAGAGACUGUUAGGGCCUGUUUGUAUGGAAGCCGGGCUGGCCCGCUUAGCAAGACAGCCCGGUAAGGUAGAUACGCAGGAUGAUUUCUCUUGUGUUUAUUUGAGAAAAUUUCAUCCCGCUUACCGGCACAAUUUUGUUGUUUUGACAUUUGUUAAAAAUAGCUUGCAGCAGUAUCGUUGAACUUUCAUCCUGGCAACUGGGCUAGCCUGCUUGUGAUUGUUUAUAUGGAGAAAUUUCCAUCCUGGUCUCUGCAACAGGGCCUCCCGCUUGUACAUAGAAACAAUUUUAAUUAUAAUUUUUACUAUAAAAAUAAGUAGACAGCGAGAUCUCACUUACCGGGCUGUCUCACUUAGCGGGCCAGCCAGUUUCGAUAUAAACAGGCCCUUAAAAGCUGCAAGUUUACUUAAAGCAAUAUCGUCUAUAUCACAGAAUACAGUUUCUGUACUGACAUACUUUGUGUGUUUUCUGUCUUUAAAGUGUCUUAUGUUUGUAAUAUUUUUGUACAAUACCUUUUUGAAAUUGUUGAUACUGGUCUCAUUGUAACUCAGUUAUUCCUUCUCAAGAAAAAUAAAAAAACAAAGCUGUUUGGGUGUGUUUUUGCUCUAGUUUUUACAUCUACAUGAUUCAUGUACAAUUAAUGUACAUUUAAAUUAGCUUUGUUCAAUG
Non-coding RNA from Paramuricea clavata, 1440 nucleotides. The record is from the annotation of a GenBank genome assembly. NCBI's taxonomy places the organism in Eukaryota, Metazoa, Cnidaria, Anthozoa, Malacalcyonacea, Plexauridae.